CAAAAGUCUGAUCCAGCAAUUCUGUGUGCACGAUGAAGGUCUUCGGAUUGUAAAGUGCUUUCAGGUGGGAAGAAGAAAGUGACGGUACCACCAGAAGAAGCGACGGCUAAAUACGUGCCAGCAGCCGCGGUAAUACGUAUGUCGCAAGCGUUAUCCGGAAUUAUUGGGCGUAAAGCGAGUCUAGGCGGCUUGUUAAGUCAGAUGUGAAAAUGCGGGGCUCAACUCCGUAUUGCGUUUGAAACUGGCAGGCUAGAGUACUGGAGAGGUGGGCGGAACUACAAGUGUAGAGGUGAAAUUCGUAGAUAUUUGUAGGAAUGCCGAUAGUGAAGACAGCUCACUGGACAGAUACUGACGCUAAAGCUCGAAAGCGUGGGGAGCGAACAGGAUUAGAUACCCUGGUAGUCC
Molecule: ribosomal RNA, 405 nt
Filed under: uncultured bacterium
Lineage: Bacteria
Description: bacterial SSU rRNA
Rfam family: Bacterial small subunit ribosomal RNA
Source: RNAcentral